This 504-nucleotide ribosomal RNA is filed under the name uncultured Oxalobacteraceae bacterium. RNAcentral describes it as "partial 16S ribosomal RNA". The record is from RNAcentral. Lineage: Bacteria; Pseudomonadati; Pseudomonadota; Betaproteobacteria; Burkholderiales; Oxalobacteraceae.
CACGUAGUUAGCCGGUGCUUAUUCUUCAGGUACCGUCAUUAGCGCAGAAUAUUAGUCCGCACCGUUUCUUCCCUGACAAAAGAGCUUUACAACCCGAAGGCCUUCUUCACUCACGCGGCAUUGCUGGAUCAGGCUUGUGCCCAUUGUCCAAAAUUCCCCACUGCUGCCUCCCGUAGGAGUCUGGACCGUGUCUCAGUUCCAGUGUGGCUGGUCGUCCUCUCAGACCAGCUACUGAUCGUCGCCUUGGUAGGCCUUUACCCUACCAACUAGCUAAUCCAGAUAUCGGCCGCUCCACAAGCAUGAGGCCCGAAGGUCCCCCACUUUCAUCCGUAGAUCGUAUGCGGUAUUAGCGUAACUUUCGCUACGUUAUCCCCCACUUCUGGGUACGUUCCGAUAUAUUACUCACCCGUUCGCCACUCGCCACCAGACCGAAGUCCCGUGCCUGCCGUUCGACUUGCAUGUGUAAAGCAUGCCGCCAGCGUUCAAGUCUGAGCCAGGAUCAAA